CCCGGUGGUUUUUCCGGCAGGGUCACACCCGAUCCCAUUCCGAACUCGGAAGUUAAGCCUGCCAGGGCCGAUGGUACUAGUACCGCAGGGUUCUGGAAGAGUAGGUCGCCGCCGGGG
RNAcentral lists this ribosomal RNA (117 nucleotides) under Elusimicrobia bacterium RIFOXYA12_FULL_49_49. The record is from RNAcentral. Lineage: Bacteria; Pseudomonadati; Elusimicrobiota. RNAcentral also lists the same sequence under 5 other names.